RNAcentral lists this ribosomal RNA (483 nucleotides) under uncultured bacterium. RNAcentral describes it as "bacterial SSU rRNA". It matches the Rfam family "Bacterial small subunit ribosomal RNA", at positions 8 to 481 of the family's 1533-position model. The record is from RNAcentral.
AGAGUUUGAUCCUGGCUCAGAGUGAACGCUGGCGGCAGGCCUAACACAUGCAAGUCGAACGGCAGCACAGCAGUAGCAAUACUGUGGGUGGCGAGUGGCGGACGGGUGAGGAAUGCGUCGGAAUCUGCCUUUUUGUGGGGGAUAACGUAGGGAAACUUACGCUAAUACCGCAUACGACCUACGGGUGAAAGUGGGGGACCUUCGGGCCUCACGCAGAAAGAUGAGCCGACGCCGGAUUAGCUAGUUGGCGGGGUAAAGGCCCACCAAGGCGACGAUCCGUAGCUGGUCUGAGAGGAUGAUCAGCCACACUGGGACUGAGACACGGCCCAGACUCCUACGGGAGGCAGCAGUGGGGAAUAUUGGACAAUGGGCGCAAGCCUGAUCCAGCCUUGCCGCGUGUGUGAAGAAGGCCUUCGGGUUGUAAAGCACUUUUGUCCGGAAAAAAAAGCUUCGGGUUAAUAACCUGGAGUCAUGACGUACCGA